RNAcentral lists this ribosomal RNA (278 nucleotides) under uncultured bacterium. Its description in RNAcentral is "partial small subunit ribosomal RNA". It matches the Rfam family "Bacterial small subunit ribosomal RNA", at positions 26 to 288 of the family's 1533-position model. The record is from RNAcentral.
AGGACGAACGCUGGCGGCGCGCUUAACACAUGCAAGUCGAGCGAUCGACUCCGGGCUUGCCCGGAGCACGGAGCGGCGAACGGGUGAGUAACACGUGGGUGAUCUACCUUCGAGUGGGGGAUAACGUUCCGAAAGGAACGCUAAUACCGCAUGACGUUCUGGGUUUGAAGACCUGGAAACCAAAGCUGGGGACCGCAAGGCCUGGCGCUUGAAGAGGAGCCCGCGUCCGAUUAGCUAGUUGGCGGGGUAACGGCCCACCAAGGCGACGAUCGGUAGCC